UUCAAAAUUUGUUGAGUGUAAGUUGAAUUAAUGGGUUUUGGUGAGAUUUUUGGGGGAAAUCUUCUGUUAGGUUAUGAUGCUGUCAAUAAUUUGUCAAAUAGGGACUUGUAACACAGUAAAAUGAUAAAGAGUAUCCAAAUAUCUGUUGAUCAGCACAGGUGGUUACCACUUACGUAGAUACAAAAUUACCGAGGACUUCUGUAUAAAAACAAGGAAACAGUCAAAAAGUUGAAUAAAUUAACGUAUGCCAAGGUAGUGAAGUAAACAGUAUAUAUGUCUCCUAUCUAUGGUGAAGAUAAUCAUUAUAUAGACUGAACGCAGAUUAGAGCACGAGACGUGAAGCGUCAAGGAUUAUUGUAAGCGUGAGGUCUAUAUAUCUUCACUACCGUGGCGUAGGUAUAUGCUAUUUUUUUUCACUAGUAGCGCACUACAAAACACAUUUGAAAAAAUUUCGAUUUAUUAAAAGGAACAUAACAUCACUAACAUCACCUAACUAGGUUUUGAUAUUUUCCGUCAUUAUUUUUCGACGUUUGAAAAGUUUUGGUUUCAUGUUGGAAAUAUAUCAAGCUGUGAACUAUGUACCCCUCUAGAGAUACUGUUCCUCGUGAAAAUGAUUUAAAAAAUCUGACCGUUAAAAUAGAAUGGUUAUUGACCCUCGGUGAACAUUAACUUCACUUCCAUUAGCCAAAUUUAAUUACCAUUAUGGAGAAAAAUGAAUUUAUUACUCACAGACAAAGCAUGAUAGUGGUGCAUCUCUACGCUACUAGUGAAAAAAAAUAAUUAUACGCUUGUAGGUGCGUAGGUAUUUCGAUUCAGGUCAGACAACAAACAAUACUCAAUUCCCACCAUAUAGCAAAUAAAGGAAAUUUACUUGUAUAUCCUGCCACGCUGACUGUUUAAAUUUAAGAUGGUUUUCUUUACUUGAUGAAAAAAGUGUUCGAGUGACAAAACGUGGCAAACCAAUUUUUCUGUACUUUUUGUACUUAUGGAUUUUCCAAAUGUCUCAAAAGUUUGAAUGCUUCGAAAAAGAGCAUUAAAAAUGCUUGCAGUUAAAUAUUUAUUUGCAAACACAACUGCUAAAUCUGUUUACAAUUACUAAAAAAUGUUUCGACUUCAAAUAGGACAGCUACAUGGAAAAGAAGACAGUGAAACUCAUACAUAGAAAAAUGCCCCAUGGAAACUAAAAUUCAAAAUUUGUAGUACACACUUGAAUAUAGCUGUGGUUAAAUCAAAAACUUUGUUUCAGAGGACAGGUGUGUGUAAGACAUCGUUCUUUGAAUUGCUUAAUUAUGCUUCAUAGUAUAUGAUUUGUACAGCAAAAGGUUUUUAUUACAAAAUCUCAAACACACGAAACAGCAAUACAGUUUUAUGAGGGAAAAAUACAAAAUUGCAGAUGCUUAUAAUAAGAUAAGUGACUUCAUAACUUCCACUUGACAGUAGAAUUAGAACAGAUCCAAUAUAAUACAAUGCAGGCAUAAGAUGUGCAUGUCCAUGCAAAUGAACAUUUAAAAACAAAUUGAAAGAGAAAUAAUAAGAAAGGUGGACUCAUAACUUAAGAGCAGCGUUUGAACAAAUUUAAUAUUAUUACAAUGAACUUAAUACUGUGUAUAUUUUAUGCAGAUAAGAAUACAAAAGACAGAAAUGAGAUGGGUGAACUUAUAACUACACCAGUGUUAUUGGAACAAAUUUAUUAUAGCAAUAUAAUAAAAACCUACUGUGGGAUAUUCAUGCAGAGAAACAAGAAAGGACUAGUGAAAUCUAGUUUAUCAUUCUCUGUGAUUACUUUAAAACGUAAAAAAAAACAAUACAAUACAGUGCAAUUGUAUAGAGAUUAAUAAAUUUCCCGUUCUAUGUAGAUUAAAAACAGUUAAUCAACAAAUUCUACUGUAAGAAGCUCCACAUCACUCUGAUUUUCAGAUUCUGUUGUUUCUAACAAACAAAUCAUUUGCUCAUCCUUGCAUACCAUUUUUCUUUCAUCUUCUUCUUCACUACAUUCAAGCAGAUUCUCAUCCUCCAAGGAAAUAUCGUCUGCAGAUUCUGAUCUAAAGCUUAUAAUUGAUUCAUCAUCAGAAUCUGCGAGUGAUAUAAUUAUCGGUGGUAUAUCUUGCACGCUUUCAUUCCCCAUCAAUCGCACCCAGUCUUCCUUAAUUAUUUGUUCACAAUGUUUAACACUAUUUAGCCACAUUUCCGGAGUAUAUUUAGACAGUGCUUUUUUCCAUAAAUUAGCAACUUUUAAUUUUCCUGAAGGCUGUUCAAGAAUAUGCUUGUUGUAAUAUUGUUUACAAAAACCCCAUACCAUUUCAAUGGGGUUGUACUGACAAUGGUAUGGGGGAAGUCGUAAUACUUGUAUGCCAUUUUUGGAUAGCAACUCGUCAAUUAAGUACUUUUUUCGGGAAAGAAUAUUGGGUUUUAUUAUUUCAUACAAUUGCUUUUUCGUUAAAUUACUAUCAAAGGGAAUUUCGUUUUGAUGCAACCAAAGUUGUAAUUUUGACUUUUUCCAAGAAAAAUUGGGGAGCUGUUCAGCAUGGACUGAAUGAUACGGCGCGUUAUCCAUAAUAACAACCACUUUGCCGCUCAUCUGUUUGACAUUUGGAAUUAGUUGUUGCUCAGUCCAUUGCUUAAACAGGUCCCCAGUCAUCGUCUUGUGAUAAUCUCUACUAUCUACUUUGCUAUCCAAAAAUAAAUCGCAUCCUUCGAGAAAACCAAAUUUGCCCCCGGCGUGAAGUAUUGUGAAUCGCUUUCCUUCAUUCAUGCAAACUUUCUCUGGCAUACCCCUUCUAUCACCUUCAAACACCCACCUUCUUACAGCAGAACCAUGUUCAUAGAUCCACGUUUCAUCGAGAAAAACGAACGUUACAUUCUGAUCUACCAGUUGCAAAUAUUGCCUUAAAAAUUUAAUUUUUUGAGAUUGAAGUCUAGGUCCCUCAAUUAAAAUUUUUCGGUUAUUCACUUUCUUGUACCUGUACCCCAUUGAUUUUAAAAUGCGUUUCAGUGUUGUUAAACUCGCUGUGUAUUCUAAUUCAGUUCUUGCAAAUUGAAAUAAAUCCCUUGCG
This is a long non-coding RNA of Zophobas morio, 3053 nucleotides long. RefSeq lists it as uncharacterized. The transcript is spliced from 6 exons. The record is from RefSeq and is a predicted model, not a curated record. NCBI's taxonomy places the organism in Eukaryota, Metazoa, Arthropoda, Insecta, Coleoptera, Tenebrionidae.